Molecule: microRNA precursor, 102 nt
Filed under: Marmota monax (woodchuck)
Lineage: Eukaryota; Metazoa; Chordata; Mammalia; Rodentia; Sciuridae
Source: RNAcentral
AACACAAUUGCUUGAUCAUAUGGUAAGAGCAUGUUUAGUUUAUAGAAAAAUGCCAAACUAUCUUCAAAAACGGCUUUACCAUGUUGAAUUCCCAACAACAGU